Molecule: ribosomal RNA, 370 nt
Filed under: uncultured Thiobacillus sp.
Lineage: Bacteria; Pseudomonadati; Pseudomonadota; Betaproteobacteria; Nitrosomonadales; Thiobacillaceae
Description: bacterial SSU rRNA
Rfam family: Bacterial small subunit ribosomal RNA
Source: RNAcentral
GGCGGGGUGCCCGAAAGGGAAUUGGAACACAGGUGCUGCAUGGGCUGUCGUCAGCUCGUGUCGUGAGAUGUUGGGUUAAGUCCCGCAACGAGCGCAACCCUUAUCAUUAGUUGCUACGCAAGGGCACUCUAAUGAGACUGCCGGUGACAAACCGGAGGAAGGUGGGAUGACGUCAAGUCCUCAUGGCCCUUAUGGGCAGGGCUUCACACGUCAUACAAUGGUCGGUACAGAGGGUUGCCAAGCCGCGAGGUGGAGCCAAUCCCAGAAAGCCGAUCGUAGUCCGGAUUGUUCUCUGCAACUCGAGAGCAUGAAGUCGGAAUCGCUAGUAAUCGCGGAUCAGCAUGUCGCGGUGAAUACGUUCCCAGGUCUU